UACAGAGGGUGCAAGCGUUAAUCGGAUUUACUGGGCGUAAAGCGUGCGUAGGCGGCCAGACCAGUCGGAUGUGAAAUCCCCGAGCUUAACUUGGGAACUGCAUCCGAAACUAUCUGGCUAGAGUGUGGUAGAGGGCGGUGGAAUUCCCGGUGUAGCGGUGAAAUGCGUAGAUAUCGGGAGGAACAUCAAUGGCGAAGGCAGCCGCCUGGGCCAACACUGACGCUGAGGUACGAAAGCGUGGGGAGCAAACAGG
Molecule: ribosomal RNA, 253 nt
Filed under: uncultured bacterium
Lineage: Bacteria
Description: partial 16S ribosomal RNA
Rfam family: Bacterial small subunit ribosomal RNA
Source: RNAcentral